RNAcentral lists this ribosomal RNA (460 nucleotides) under uncultured bacterium. Its description in RNAcentral is "partial 16S ribosomal RNA". It matches the Rfam family "Bacterial small subunit ribosomal RNA", at positions 338 to 795 of the family's 1533-position model. The record is from RNAcentral.
CCUACGGGAGGCUGCAGUGAGGAAUAUUGGUCAAUGGACGAGAGUCUGAACCAGCCAAGUAGCGUGAAGGAUGACUGCCCUAUGGGUUGUAAACUUCUUUUAUAUGGGAAUAAAAUGUUCCACGUGUGGGAUUUUGUAUGUACCAUAUGAAUAAGGAUCGGCUAACUCCGUGCCAGCAGCCGCGGUAAUACGGAGGAUCCGAGCGUUAUCCGGAUUUAUUGGGUUUAAAGGGAGCGUAGGUGGAUUGUUAAGUCAGUUGUGAAAGUUUGCGGCUCAACCGUAAAAUUGCAUUUGAAACUGGCAGUCUUGAGUACAGUAGAGGUGGGCGGAAUUCGUGGUGUAGCGGUGAAAUGCUUAGAUAUCACGAAGAACUCCGAUUGCGAAGGCAGUUCACUGGACUGCAACUGACACUGAGGCUCGAAAGUGUGGGUAUCAAACAGGAUUAGAUACCCGAGUAGUC